RNAcentral lists this ribosomal RNA (245 nucleotides) under uncultured Actinomycetospora sp. RNAcentral describes it as "partial 16S ribosomal RNA". It matches the Rfam family "Bacterial small subunit ribosomal RNA", at positions 524 to 767 of the family's 1533-position model. The record is from RNAcentral. Lineage: Bacteria; Bacillati; Actinomycetota; Actinomycetes; Pseudonocardiales; Pseudonocardiaceae.
UACGUAGGGUGCGAGCGUUGUCCGGAAUUAUUGGGCGUAAAGAGCUCGUAGGCGGUGUGUCACGUCGGCCGUGAAAACCUGGGGCUUAACUCUGGGCGUGCGGUCGAUACGGGCAUCACUAGAGUUCGGCAGGGGAGACUGGAAUUCCUGGUGUAGCGGUGAAAUGCGCAGAUAUCAGGAGGAACACCGGUGGCGAAGGCGGGUCUCUGGGCCGAUACUGACGCUGAGGAGCGAAAGCAUGGGUA